Molecule: long non-coding RNA, 214 nt
Filed under: Nicotiana benthamiana
Lineage: Eukaryota; Viridiplantae; Streptophyta; Magnoliopsida; Solanales; Solanaceae
Description: long non-coding RNA (NBEN_LNC009062)
Source: RNAcentral
CUGGUUCGAUCGGCCCUCGAAACCGCUUCUUCUCUGCAACCCCAAAAGUACUACAGUUAUUUUCUUUACAUACCGUAAGAUUUCAGCCGUUUGCCUCUGUCAGCAUUUUUCCUCUUUCAGUCAUUUGACUAUGUCACCCGCACAAAUGAAAUUGAAAGAUAAAUCAAAGAAGAAAAUAGAUACGGAGAGAGCGAGAGGGGCUAAAAUAUCGAGA